Molecule: ribosomal RNA, 253 nt
Filed under: uncultured bacterium
Lineage: Bacteria
Description: partial 16S ribosomal RNA
Rfam family: Bacterial small subunit ribosomal RNA
Source: RNAcentral
UACAGAGGGGGCAAGCGUUGUUCGGAAUUACUGGGCGUAAAGGGCGCGUAGGCGGCCUUCUAAGUCGAACGUGAAAUCCCCGGGCUCAACCCGGGAACUGCGUCCGAUACUGGAAGGCUUGAAUCCGGGAGAGGGAUGCGGAAUUCCAGGUGUAGCGGUGGAAUGCGCAGAUAUCAGGAGGAACACCGGUGGCGAAGGCGGCUCUCUGGACGGUGACUGACGCUGAGACGCGAAAGCGUGGGGAGCAAACAGG